CGGCGAGUGAAGCGGCAAUAGCUCAAAUUUGAAAGCUGGCGUCUUCGACGUCCGCGUUGUAAUUUGUAGAGGAUGCUUCGGCGAAGACUCCUGCCUAAGUCCCCUGGAACGGGGCGUCAUAGAGGGUGAGAAUCCCGUAUGUGGCGGGCAGUCUAAGCCAUGUGAAGCUCCUUCGACGAGUCGAGUUGUUUGGGAAUGCAGCUCUAAAUGGGAGGUAAAUUUCUUCUAAAGCUAAAUAUUGGCCAGAGACCGAUAGCGCACAAGUAGAGUGAUCGAAAGAUGAAAAGCACUUUGGAAAGAGAGUUAAAAAGUACGUGAAAUUGUUGAAAGGGAAGCGCUUGCAACCAGACUCGCUCGUAGUUGCUCAGCCGGCCUCUUGGCCGGUGUACUCUUCUACGAUCGGGCCAGCAUCAGUUCGGGCGGCAGGAUAAAGGUGUCGGGAAUGUAGCACCCUUCGGGGUGUGUUAUAGCCCGGCGCGGAAUGCUGCCAGCCUGGACUGAGGAUCUCGCUUCGGCAAGGAUGCUGGCGUAAUGGUUGUAAGCGGCCCGUCUUGAAACACGGACCAAGGAGUCUAACAUCUAUGCGAGUGUUUGGGUGUCAAACCCAUGCGCGUAAUGAAAGUGAACGGAGGUGGGAACCCCUCACGGGGUGCACCAUCGACCGAUCCUGAUGUCUUCGGAUGGAUUUGAGUAAGAGCAUAGCUGUUGGGACCCGAAAGAUGGUGAACUAUGCCUGAAUAGGGUGAAGCCAGAGGAAACUCUGGUGGAGGCUCGCAGCGGUUCUGACGUGCAAAUCGAUCGUCAAAUUUGGG
Molecule: ribosomal RNA, 812 nt
Filed under: Phyllosticta capitalensis
Lineage: Eukaryota; Fungi; Ascomycota; Dothideomycetes; Botryosphaeriales; Phyllostictaceae
Description: partial 28S ribosomal RNA
Rfam family: Eukaryotic large subunit ribosomal RNA
Source: RNAcentral